Molecule: long non-coding RNA, 1026 nt
Organism: Bombus impatiens (common eastern bumble bee)
Lineage: Eukaryota; Metazoa; Arthropoda; Insecta; Hymenoptera; Apidae
Exons: 2
Source: RefSeq, a predicted model, not a curated record
UGUUUCUGUGAAUAGGAAAAUUCUGUUAGCGAAGGACUCCUCGUUAAGAAAUUUCCAUCAGAUCUAAGAACACCGCCAAGAACGACAACGUUGCUGGGCAUACAAGGAAGAUGAAGAGUCAAAACGUUUAAAAAAAAGAAGGCGCCACAAACCAACGGAUGUCUCGCUAGGCGAGGUAAAAAUAUGUACAAAAUUGCCCCAAAAAUAGAGAAAAAUUCUCGUCGACGAGGACGAAGCGUUCGAAAGCCGCUGUAGCUGGAAAAUUCUAGAAAAAAAUAACGGAACAGCACAAAAAUAAAAUGUCGGCCGUAAAAAGGUUCGAUAGAAGAUUGUUGUCGAAGAUAGUGAGAAGUGACGAUGGAUGAACGUAUAUAUAAUACAUAUAUAUGAGAAAGAAGAAUAAAAGUUGUCGAAACAGACCGUGUAUAAAUUUGAUAGAUUUGAGGAAGAAGGUGAGAAUAGAAGAAACAGACGUAGGAGAAGAGAAUGAGAGAGAUAUCGUAAAAGACAAAGAGAGAAAGACGAGUGGUCUAGUCGUUGAAGAAACGAUAAAUAAAGAGGAAAAUAGUGAAUCGCAUUCUCAUAAGAAAGAGCGAGAAAGAGCGAAAAAUAUAGAGAUAGGGAGGAAUAAAAGUGAAAGACAUCGAUAUCACGCUGGUAGAUCGUGAAACUGUGUUUCAAGUUUCAAGUUGUCGAGGAAUACGAUCCAACCUCCGUCUUGGUGAAAUGGUGCAGGGUCGGCCAGUCGGGAAUUAAUUCGGCGAGAGAGGGUCUACGAGAUCCACUACUCUAUAAAACAACAAAAAUCGUCUACGAUCACAGUCUGAUUUACUACACGGGUAUCUUCUUCGUUGAGGCUGAUGGCAGGCAAAGUAAAGCAUAGAACAACAGUAUAGACGUAGUAGCAUACCGAGCUGUUAUUCAAUGAUCGCAAGUAAUCGAGAAAUGCAACAGACUUACAACGAAUGGACAUGCAUACCAAUAAGGACAAGCUACCUCAAGACAUACAAGAAAAAAAAAAAAAAA